RNAcentral lists this ribosomal RNA (465 nucleotides) under uncultured bacterium. RNAcentral's name for it is "partial 16S ribosomal RNA". It matches the Rfam family "Bacterial small subunit ribosomal RNA", at positions 28 to 507 of the family's 1533-position model. The record is from RNAcentral.
GACGAACGCUGGCGGCGUGCUUAACACAUGCGAGUCGAACGGAAAGGCCCUGCUUGCAGGGUACUCGAGUGGCGAACGGGUGAGUAACACGUGGGUGAUCUGCCCUGCACUUCGGGAUAAGCCUGGGAAACUGGGUCUAAUAUCGGAUAGGAGCCAUUUUUAGUGUGAUGGUUGGAAAGUUUUUUCGGUGUAGGAUGAGCUCGCGGCCUAUCAGCUUGUUGGUGGGGUAAUGGCCUACCAAGGCGGCGACGGGUAGCCGGCCUGAGAGGGUGGACGGCCACAUUGGGACUGAGAUACGGCCCAGACUCCUACGGGAGGCAGCAGUGGGGAAUAUUGCACAAUGGGCGCAAGCCUGAUGCAGCGACGCCGCGUGGGGGAUGACGGCCUUCGGGUUGUAAACUCCUUUCGCUAGGGACGAAGCUUUUUGUGACGGUACCUAGAUAAGAAGCACCGGCUAACUACGUG